Molecule: ribosomal RNA, 494 nt
Filed under: uncultured bacterium
Lineage: Bacteria
Description: partial 16S ribosomal RNA
Rfam family: Bacterial small subunit ribosomal RNA
Source: RNAcentral
GACGAACGCUGGCGGCGCGCUUAACACAUGCAAGUCGAACGGAAAGGCCUGCUUUCCCUUGUGGAUUGCGGGUACUCGAGUGGCGAACGGGUGAGUAACACGUGAGUGAUCUGCCCCCAACUUGGGUAUAAGCCUGGGAAACUGGGUCUAAUUCCCGAUAGGACUGCAGGGUGGUGACUGUGGUGGAAAACGAUUUUCUAGUGGUUGGGGAUGAGCUCGCGGCCUAUCAGCUUGUUGGUGGGGUAAUGGCCUACCAAGGCGGCGACGGGUAGCCGGCCUGAGGGGGUGGACGGCCACAUUGGGACUGAGAUACGGCCCAGACUCCUACGGGAGGCAGCAGUGGGGAAUAUUGCACAAUGGGCGGAAGCCUGAUGCAGCGACGCCGCGUGGGGGAUGACGGCCUUCGGGUUGUAAACUCCUUUCGACCGCGAGGAAGCCACCUGGUUGGAAGGGUGGUGACGGUAGUGGUAGAAGAAGCACCGGCUAACUACGUG